Molecule: long non-coding RNA, 828 nt
Organism: Magnolia sinica
Lineage: Eukaryota; Viridiplantae; Streptophyta; Magnoliopsida; Magnoliales; Magnoliaceae
Exons: 4
Source: RefSeq, a predicted model, not a curated record
UUUUUUAACAGUUCGUUAAACAAGAAUGCUUGAGUACUGCUUAGAGAAGGAGGUUGUUGCUGCACAGAUUCCAAGAGAAGCAUGCAUCAUUAAAGUUCAAGUGAUUUUUAGCCUGGUGCUAUUAUGCUACCUUGCUUCUACUUUUAUAAGUGAGUUCUAAGCUGUUAAACAAGAAUGCAUGAGUCCUGCUCAAAGAAGGAAGUUGCUGCUACACAAAUUCCAAGAGAAGAAUUUGAAAAUAUAACUUUUAGAGAGAAUGGAAUGCAAAAUUAGAAGAGCAGAAGCUUGAAAAAGUGGUUCACACAGCAUUUGCGGCCCACCAGAUGCCUAGAUUGCCCUAAUUUUCAGGCCAUGGGACACCACCUGAACUUCCUGGAUCUUACAUAGCAUGGGAGAAUGAUUUGAAAUCUUACUCAUGUCACUUGCCAGAUGGAUUCAACAGUGCACUCUCAUUGUGAAGGAUCCAUAAAAGGCAACCUCCAGGGCCUAAAAGAAAGUCCAUAUGCCAAGCUCUUGCUAACUCCGAAACCUUAACAAAAAGGAUCCAUAAAUGCAACCAUGAUUGUCAACGAUGAGAAGGAAGGUUAACUGCAAUCUGGCAUUUUUAUUUAUUUAUUUAUUUAUUUUAAAUAUAAAUAUCUCUCCUUGUUAAUCUAUUAAGGUUUUGAUUGGAAACUGGUAUAUCUUUCUAAAAUUUGCCCCUUACCUCUCCUUUGAAACUAUUCAAUACAUUAUCAAGGCCUAGUUUCAUUAGAAUUCCUCUCACUACAAGAAAGUGGAGAAUAUCCGGCGAAUUUUUACCGGCGGCCAUCACCAACUGCUAGAUGC